Molecule: ribosomal RNA, 470 nt
Filed under: uncultured bacterium
Lineage: Bacteria
Description: bacterial SSU rRNA
Rfam family: Bacterial small subunit ribosomal RNA
Source: RNAcentral
GAUGAACGCUGGCGGCGUGCCUAAUACAUGCAAGUCGAACGAGGUGCUUUUGUAGCAAUACGUGAGUAUCCUAGUGGCGAACGGGUGAGUAACGCGUUGGUGACCUACCCCAAAGUGUGGGAUAACAGUCCGAAAGGAUUGCUAAUACCGCAUGUGGUCAUUGGCUUCAGAAACCGAUGACUAAAGGAGCAAUUCGCUUUGGGAGGGACCUGCGUCCCAUCAGCUAGUUGGUGAGGUAACGGCUCACCAAGGCGACGACGGGUAGGGGACCUGAGAGGGUGGCCCCCCACAAUGGAACUGAAACACGGUCCAUACACCUACGGGUGGCAGCAGUAGGGAAUAUUGCACAAUGGGCGAAAGCCUGAUGCAGCAACGCCGGGUGUGUGAUGAAGGCCUUCGGGUCGUAAAGCACUUUUCUGGGAGAUGAGAAAGGACAGUAUCCCAGGAAUAAGUCUCGGCUAACUACGUGC